AAGUCGUAACAAGGUUUCCGUAGGUGAACCUGCGGAAGGAUCAUUAAAGAUUCGAGCUUCGGCUCUACCUCUUCAGCUGUGCGCUUCGGUUGCACGCUGUCGAAACUCUCACACCUGUGCACCUUUUCGGUUGCGGCGUUCGCGCGUCGCUUCCGCUUUACACAUUUUACUACAAAAGUCUAGAAUGUCAUAAACUAUAAAACAUAAUACAACUUUCAACAACGGAUCUCUUGGCUCUC
RNAcentral lists this unclassified non-coding RNA (239 nucleotides) under air metagenome. RNAcentral describes it as "partial contains small subunit ribosomal RNA, internal transcribed spacer 1, and 5.8S ribosomal RNA". The stretch from base 1 to 46 matches the Rfam family "Eukaryotic small subunit ribosomal RNA", at positions 1786 to 1831 of the family's 1831-position model. The record is from RNAcentral.